RNAcentral lists this ribosomal RNA (451 nucleotides) under uncultured bacterium. RNAcentral's name for it is "partial 16S ribosomal RNA". It matches the Rfam family "Bacterial small subunit ribosomal RNA", at positions 354 to 796 of the family's 1533-position model. The record is from RNAcentral.
GUGGGGAAUAUUGGACAAUGGGGGGAACCCUGAUCCAGCCAUGCCGCGUGUGUGAAGAAGGCCUUUUGGUUGUAAAGCACUUUAAGCGAGGAGGAGGCUACCGAGAUUAAUACUCUUGGAUAGUGGACGUUACUCGCAGAAUAAGCACCGGCUAACUCUGUGCCAGCAGCCGCGGUAAUACAGAGGGUGCAAGCGUUAAUCGGAUUUACUGGGCGUAAAGCGCGCGUAGGUGGCCAAUUAAGUCAAAUGUGAAAUCCCCGAGCUUAACUUGGGAAUUGCAGUCGAUACUGGUUGGCUAGAGUAUGGGAGAGGAUGGUAGAAUUCCAGGUGUAGCGGUGAGAUGCGUAGAGAUCUGGAGGAAUACCGAUGGCGAAGGCAGCCAUCUGGCCUAAUACUGACACUGAGGUGCGAAAGCAUGGGGAGCAAACAGGAUUAGAUACCCUGGUAGUCC